This 469-nucleotide ribosomal RNA is filed under the name uncultured bacterium. RNAcentral's name for it is "partial 16S ribosomal RNA". It matches the Rfam family "Bacterial small subunit ribosomal RNA", at positions 28 to 508 of the family's 1533-position model. The record is from RNAcentral.
GAUGAACGCUGGCGGCGUGCUUAACACAUGCAAGUCGAACGGUGAAGGCGGAGCUUGCUCUGCUGGAUCAGUGGCGAACGGGUGAGUAACACGUGAGCAAUCUGCCCCUGACUCUGGGAUAAGCGCUGGAAACGGCGUCUAAUACUGGAUACGAGCUGCGAAGGCAUCUUCAGCAGCUGGAAAGAAUUUCGGUCAGGGAUGAGCUCGCGGCCUAUCAGCUUGUUGGUGAGGUAAUGGCUCACCAAGGCGUCGACGGGUAGCCGGCCUGAGAGGGUGACCGGCCACACUGGGACUGAGAGACGGCCCAGACUCCUACGGGAGGCAGCAGUGGGGAAUAUUGCACAAGGGGCGAAAGCCUGAUGCAGCAACGCCGCGGGAGGGACGACGGCCUUCGGGUUGUAAACCUCUUUUAGCAGGGAAGAAGCGAAAGUGACGGUACCUGCAGAAAAAGCGCCGGCUAACGACGUGC